RNAcentral lists this transfer RNA (317 nucleotides) under Cyathophorum africanum. RNAcentral's name for it is "transfer RNA-Leu". The stretch from base 7 to 243 matches the Rfam family "Group I catalytic intron". Rfam says of the family: Group I catalytic introns are large self-splicing ribozymes. They catalyse their own excision from mRNA, tRNA and rRNA precursors in a wide range of organisms. The record is from RNAcentral. Lineage: Eukaryota; Viridiplantae; Streptophyta; Bryopsida; Hookeriales; Hypopterygiaceae.
AAAUAACUUGAGCUUUAGUAGAAAAAUUUAUUAAAUGUUAGCUUUCAGAUUCAGGGAAACUUAGGUUGAUAAAAAUAUAAGCAAUCUGAGCCAAAUCUUAUAAAAAUAAGAUAGGUGCAGAGACUUAAUGGAAGCUAUUCUAACGAAUAAUAUUUUUAAUAUUUUAUUUAAUUUAUUUAAAUCUUAUUUUUUAAAUAUUAAACGAGGAUAAAGAUAGAGUCCAAUUUUACAUGUUAAUUUUAGCAACAAUUUAAAUUGUAGUAAAAAGAAAAUCCGUUGGCUUUAUUGACCGUGAGGGUUCAAGUCCCUCUACCCCC